UGGCAUAACUGCAGCUCACUGCAGCCUUGUCCUCCUGGGCUCAAGCAAUUGUCCACCUCAGCCUUCACGGUAGCCAGGACUAAAGAUUUGUUUCGUGUCCAUUUCGGCUGAAAUAUACAAAUCACUGAUGGCAGAUAGAGACGUGAGCUGCUCUUCUAUAGCAGGUCCAGCCUUGCUCCAAAGCCAGGGGUCACAAAGAGGAUGCUUCUCAGUAAGUCAUUUGCUUGGAAAAAUAUUACAGAUUUCUCAAGAAAGCUGUGGUAUAGUGGGAUCUCUCAUGCAGGAGCCUUGGUGGGGCAAUGUGAGAAAGGAAUUCAGGAACUUCUCUGGUCCCUCUCAUUAAUUACCUUCCUUUUAAUGAAUCUAAAAGCACAGUCUUGGGCAUCUGCUGGGCUUGGGCUCACAACUCUACUACUUCAAGGUCAAGGUGGGCAUUGACCUUGAAGCUAUGUGACCUUAGGCAUUUUCUCAAUCAAUCUAAGCUUCAGUUUUCUUCUAUAAAAUAUGACCAA
Long non-coding RNA from Cebus imitator (Panamanian white-faced capuchin), 512 nucleotides. RefSeq lists it as uncharacterized. The record is from RefSeq and is a predicted model, not a curated record. NCBI's taxonomy places the organism in Eukaryota, Metazoa, Chordata, Mammalia, Primates, Cebidae. The transcript is spliced from 3 exons.